UAAGGAAUAUUGGUCAAUGGGCGCAAGCCUGAACCAGCCAUGCCGCGUGCAGGAAGACGGCCCGAUGGGUUGUAAACUGCUUUUGUCAGGGAAUAAACCCCCGCUCGUGAGCGGGGCUGAAGGUACCUGAAGAAUAAGCAUCGGCUAACUCCGUGCCAGCAGCCGCGGUAAUACGGAGGAUGCAAGCGUUAUCCGGAUUCAUUGGGUUUAAAGGGUGCGCAGGCGGAUUGGUAAGUCAGGGGUGAAAUCCCACAGCUCAACUGUGGAUCUGCCUUUGAUACUGGCGGUCUAGAGUAUAGUUGAAGUACGCGGAACGUCUCAUGUCGCUGUGACAUGCUUAGAUAUGACACAGAACACCGAUCGCGACGGCAGCUCGCUAAGCUAUCACAGCCGCUCAUGCACGAAAGCGUGGGGAUCAAACA
Molecule: ribosomal RNA, 422 nt
Filed under: uncultured bacterium
Lineage: Bacteria
Description: bacterial SSU rRNA
Rfam family: Bacterial small subunit ribosomal RNA
Source: RNAcentral